Colius striatus (speckled mousebird) is the source of this 1775-nucleotide long non-coding RNA. RefSeq lists it as uncharacterized. The transcript is spliced from 3 exons. Lineage: Eukaryota; Metazoa; Chordata; Aves; Coliiformes; Coliidae. The record is from RefSeq and is a predicted model, not a curated record.
CUCUGACUUCUCACUUCUUGUGUUGCUUCUGUUAGUCAUGUCUUACAUAUCUUAGGACUAGCCAUUUCAUUUUGCUAUAUGAGCAUUCUGUGUGUCUCUAAUUAAAUGCUCAAUAAAUUCAUUAGUGGUAGUUACUCCAUACUCUGAUGAUGAGGCCCUAAAUUAUUAAGCAUUAUUAAAGAACGGAGAUGAUAUUGCACAUCCUUACAUUGCUAUUUUAAAUUUACUUCAUAUGCUUUGUCAUUCUAAACUCUGAGUGUUUGCCCCCUUCUAAAUAAGUCAAUAUGAAAGGAGAAAACUAUUUCUUGAAUAUGAGUGUUAAUAAUUUGCUAUAACAUACAUGCCUGAAUUGCAUCAUCUUCUUCAUAUGCCUUACUUUAAGUAAUAUAGAAUUAAGGUAUUUUGGUACAUUUUAUCAGAAGACCUUUUCAUGCCUUUGACCUCUGAAAGGAUCUCCUAGGCGAUAAGGAAGCACAGCAAGGAGUUGCAGUCUCAGCUACUUAAAUUUAAAUACCUAUCACAUUCCUAUGGAGCGAGACACACGGAUCACUCUUUUCACAUAUUUAUUUGUUGCAGACACUAUGUUCUCUGUGGAAUUCUUUGCUGACACCUGAAAAUGUGCCAAUGGGUUUGCCCAGAGAGCUCUGUGAGAUGUAUUUUGUCCUUAUGUGUAUGGUGGGCUGUUUGAUGAGGCACUCUCUCAAGAUCAGAAGACAACUCAAUGAUGCCAAAUUUGUCUACAUUUUCUCUGUUUCAUGGCUACUUGUGAUGUAAUGGAGGACAUACAUACACUCCAAAGCUUCAACAAAGGCAAUCUUUGUUCAUGCAUCUGAGACUGCAUGUCUCAAAUAUUUUAUCGAUUUACUCUUAACAAAAGGAAAACUAGUCAUGCCUGUUGGAAAUGCCGGUGUAGGAAAAACAGUGUUUGUACUUGGUAGACUUGCUGCUCCCUCUGAAGACCACUUCCUGGCUAAGAUCCUUCUCAAUUACUACACAGCAUCAGUAAUGCUCCAGAGUAAGUUCCAUAGAGAUGCAAGAAACCUAUCUUCCCUCAACAGCAAAGGUGAAAAAUAUUCUGCAGUUAUUACAAUCUCUGCUGCCAUUGUCUGGGUCUUGGCAAGCUCAUCGUUGCACAAAGUAGAAAACAAUUGAAGUUGGAGCAAGCAAGAAGAAAGGAGAAGGAUCAAACUGUUUGGUGUAAACUGGCACCAACCCUGCUCCCACAAGUUGUUCUGUGCUUGUGGACAAGAGAAAAUUUGGCUUUACCUAUGUUAACAAGAAACCUUCAUCCAGCUUUGGCUAGCUUGAGUGUCUCUGCAUUGUGCCUGCAGAUCUAGGACAGAGAGUCGGGAGUUGGGGCUGCUUUUGUUAGGCACCAUAUGAUCCUCAAUGAGGGAAAAUCCCUGUCUAGAGAAGUUUGGAUUCUCCUUUAGACAGGAUGGAUUCAGAGCAAAGGAAAUGUUAAUAUAACCGACAAGAGAACUGUAUACUGGCUGAAAAUGUUACACUGGUGUGUAGAGAAAAAAAUACGUGUCCUAUUAACUGUACAGCUUUUCACAGCUGUAAAAAGCAUUUGAGAAAAGUUAAUACACUGUCUUAUUCUCUCAUUUGUCUGGGAGAGAAUACAGAAAACAAUGUAUCACUUUUAAAAACUUUCCAGAAUCGAAGAAGUCUUCACAUAAAAUCUUUAGAAGCAUUUUAGAAGCUUACUUGGUGCUUAAUGUAACUACUUGUGCAAUCAAAUUUCUUAAUUUUCCAGCCAAUCUACAUUGCGG